GGGGGGACGGGGGUGCCACAUAAAGCCGGCACUCUUGGAGGCAGGGCCCGCGGCGGUUUCCAUGCGGGGCGUCCCGAGGAUGUUUGGAGGGGGUCGCGGGGCGAGGGGAGCUGGGGCCCCCUCAGGGGGGCGGCCGGGCGCGUCUGAGCCGCCGGGCCCCGCCCGUCUGUGAUUGCAGCAAGCCUUCAACGCCACGGCCGUGGUCAGGCACAUGCGGAAGCUGCACCUGGGGAGCAGCCUGGACAGCUCGAGCGCCGGCGUCGCCAGCGGCCUCAGCCUGGCCGGCCAGAAAGACUGCCUGGCGUCCUCCACCCUCUGUAGUUUCAUGUCCUCUCCGUCGGGGGUCUCCGGAGCCGAGCGGAGACCACGUCCCACCACCGUGGCCACGGGGCACGCCUGCAGCAAGUGAUGAGGCAGGGCCGGAGCCCCCACAGCCCAGGACCCUCCUCGGGGAACCCCCGGGCCUGGUCCCUUCCUGCAGAGGACUGGAAGACGCGCGUUUUUUUAUGGCCAUAUUUUAUACUGCAAUUCUGAAGGCGUUCCUUUUCUCACGGACUCUACUGGCGCGAGGGCGCUGGCUCCAGCGGAUCCGGUGCUGUCCACGCGAGUCUGGCGAAGCUCCAGCCGAACGGACCGCCCUGCUCCUCUCCCCGGCGCCCGGCGCGCCCGCUCUUUUGGGCAUAGCCAACCAUCUACGUUGUGUUUUCUCAUUAGCCACAAAAAUGGUUUCAACUGGAUUAUUUAAGUAUCGGUUUAAAUAUUGUGCAUUAGGGUUUGUUUUUUCCUUUUAAGAAAUGUGUCCUUUCUAUCUCCACCUCUUAGUUACAUGCCCUGUAUCUUUUGCUCUUUCAGAAGUAGAACUUUAUGUUAACCCUUUAAGAGAGUUUUUUCCAUCCAAGGGGAAUUUAAAGGUUAUUUUUUAAAAUUCUAAGAAGAAGAUCAAGAAUCUGUCUUUAAGGCUGAGUGCACUUUACUCCAUCUCUUCUGCUCCCCUUUCUUGGGGGAGGUCCCCAAGAAGACAAGGCGGCAGCUCUGCAGGGCUGGCUCCUCCCCAGCGAGGCUCUGGGAGAGAACCUGCCAGAACCUUUCCUCCCGCUCCUCUCGCCAACACCGCGCCCGCCAGGGACCAGGGCAGCAGCUGGCCGUUGGGGUCAGGAGCCAGGAAGCCCACUCGUCCCAGAACCAAGGCUGCCCCGCUGAGAGGAGACGCCGCAAAGGAGGGUUUCGGCCCCUGCAGGGGCCGGGUCCCGCCCACAGCUGUCCCCCCUCAGAGGCUCGGCCGGAGGAGAGCGCCGCUCUCGGGCUAUGCAGUUUUAAAUCAGCCUCAUGCUCUAUUUUUUAAACGUGCAUUUCUAGUGUGACACUUGCAAAUGGCCCCCGACUCACCGAAGAACGUCCACCCCUUCUUCCGAGGAUGCUGCUGGACAGAGGGCGUGGCCUUGGAGGAGAACCGGCCUGGACAGCCAGAGGGCGCUUUCCCGGCCCUGCCUCUGAACACCAAAGACCUUGGCUGGCACCGGGACCAGAGGAUUGCCCCAAAUGGGGGGCUUCUAGAGCUAAAACCCGGAGAGCUCCGGGCCUGCCAGGGCCACAGCCCACCCCAGGUGGUGCAGGUGCAGGGGAUGCCCGGGGCGCGGCCGCUUGUCAGGGCCGCUGUGACGAUGCUUGCGUAGAGCCAGGCAGGUGUCCCCAGAGGCCGGGUUCCCUGCAUCCCUGAGUCCGAAUCCCGCACAGUCAGCCUGGCCCCCAGGGGUCCCAGCGGCGAGCCCGAGGGGCGGAGGGCCCCUGGGUGGAUACUGCUUCUGCUUUCCUCGUGCCGCCUCCCCUCCCUUGCAGCCUGCUCCACAGGGCCCGCCGGUCACGCCAGCCUUACCACAUCCACGCUUUGCCUAUGCCCGAGCCACACGCUUAGCAGUGCCCUCCCAACAUGCACACAUGCUCACACAGGCCCGCGUGCACACGCAGGGCUGCUGUGUCCAGCGGCUCCAUCUGCCGCCAUGAGGGUGGCCGUCCAGGUGUGCCCAGGUGUGUCCAGGUGCAGCUGUAGGGCCCCUGGCCCCCCACGGCCUGUCGGCUCUCGGCUGCUUGGCAGAAUCCCACUCAGGGUCUGGAAUCAGUGCUCCAACCGCAGCCCCGUAAGAAGCAAGUUGCUCUGCGCCGGGGCUGCGUCACCCCACAUCCCCCGCCUCUGCAGAAGGACGGUGACGUGAAUCCCGUGAACGAGACUUAGGGAGCUGUGGAGUCUCCAGGUGUGCUGCCAUGUUCCUGAUGAGCAGGUGCUCCGAAGCUUCGCAGUUCCUGCCGUAGGAGGCAGGACGUUUUGGAGGAGCUGAUUUCCGUGGGCUUCGUGCCAACAGUGUGUGUUCGAGGUGCCGUCGGCUCUUUGUCCUUGUGCCGUGGCCGUUUGCAUUUAGGAGGCAGCCUUGGAAGCCACAUCCUCUCAUCGGCGACGAAAAGAUGUUCUGGAGUGAAUCUAGGGGGUGCGUGUGACAUGCAGUUAGGCUGGAAGUCUCGCCUGCUAAGUGCGGAGCAGCUGGGGGGCGCCCGGGGCCCAGGCUCGCGCCCACCCACGACGGUCCCCUUGCCACAGUGAGGUCCCGGAUCAGCGCAGGAGGGGGUGGUGACGCCGCGCAGCCCAGCAUCGGCCGUGCUGGACGUGACAUCAGAGCAAGCCCACGCCACCUUUCUACCACCAGGCCUCCAUGACUCCCUGCUUGGAGCCACCAGAUAUUCCCAGAAGCGGGGAGAUAAGUUCCGCACGGGCCCUUGCUCGGGCUGCAUGGGUGAAGCAGCUCUCCUUCGCCUGCGCUUGGUCUUACUGAUGUUUUCUCACAAAACGGGCCAACAACCCGGAAGGGACCUUUUGCAAAGACCUGGCAGGAGGAGCGGCCCAGCCCGGGGCGCCCCGCUCACGUCUGCUCCGACAGGCGGCCGCCGAGCGUGCCAGCCGGGUGCCAGGGACCGCGGCCCGGCACCUUCGCCCUAGCCCGAGCUCCGCCGCCAGCCUCUCCACCUUCUCAGAGCAAGCGGACUUGGUUUUUCCUCCCUUGAGCAUUAGCUGUUGGAACAGUGUUCUGGAAAGGGCUUUCCCUCUGCAGCCUGCCUGCACUCCAUGGCCUAAGCAAGGCGCCGAGGAGAGCCGCGUUUGCCCGAAACAGACCGUGAGUCCACGGCGCGCCGCCGCCCACCCCCGCGGCCCUUGGGCAGUGCUUCCAUCCCACCAAGGUCUGGCUGGAGUCCGGGCCCUCCCGCAGCCGCCGUCCCCUCACCGAGCACGCCGGGGCCCCAGCGUCAGGGCAGGUGGAGUGAAGCCAGCUGGAGCUGA
This 3325-nucleotide long non-coding RNA is filed under the name Dasypus novemcinctus (nine-banded armadillo). RNAcentral describes it as "lncRNA (ENSDNOG00000050060.1)". The record is from RNAcentral. Lineage: Eukaryota; Metazoa; Chordata; Mammalia; Cingulata; Dasypodidae.